AGCAGCUACAGGGUAACUAUGGAGUAUCAGCAUUCUUUCCUUCCAUGGUUUAUGUCAAUUCAGGAAAACAUGUGUGAAGCAUCUGCCUUUUUAUUUAAACAGAAAGCAAGAGCUCAGAUUGCCGGACUGUGGCAUUUUAUGCACAAACCCAACAGCUAAAUUGGGAGCCGCAUCCAUGGGAGGGGCACGCUUGACGCGGGCCACCACAGCUGCCCCGGCCACCAACUGCCCAGGAGGCCUCCACUUGAACCGAAGGGGAGACAGUCAACAACAGAGCACAGCCAAAUACACAAAGAGUAAGAGUUCCUGAUGACUGCACAGCCAGAGAGCCAGAGUCCAAAGUUCUGUUGACUACGGAGAAGACGGCAAACGAGAAUUAUUUUAAAAUUCCUUUUACUGCAUCCAGUGCUGUUUCACAACAUUUUCCUUGAAUUUGAUACUGGAUACAUAAAAAUGUGGAGCCGUUGUGAACAUCUAAACUCUUGAGAGAGCCACCACCACUCUGAGCCUAAUCAGAAAUGGGUACAUCUGUCUAGACGGAUUGAAGGUGCAGCAUUUCCAAAUACCAAAUGACCACCCACCUCCAAAGUGUCACUGAGCUCUGCAAACAAAAAAAUUUUCCGAGACACUUAAUAGCAGUUGACUGGAUUCAUGUCAAGGAAAUGGAAUGGCUCUCUCACUUAGGCCACCGUGUGCAGCUGCUGAGAUUGUGAACCUCCAUGCAGCUACUCCUGUGCGCGACCUACGAAAACUCCUCAAGAACUCAGUCACCCUGCUCCCA
This is a long non-coding RNA of Physeter macrocephalus (sperm whale), 781 nucleotides long. RefSeq lists it as uncharacterized. The record is from RefSeq and is a predicted model, not a curated record. NCBI's taxonomy places the organism in Eukaryota, Metazoa, Chordata, Mammalia, Artiodactyla, Physeteridae. The transcript has 4 exons.